RNAcentral lists this ribosomal RNA (497 nucleotides) under Veillonella dispar. RNAcentral's name for it is "bacterial SSU rRNA". It matches the Rfam family "Bacterial small subunit ribosomal RNA", at positions 28 to 492 of the family's 1533-position model. The record is from RNAcentral. Lineage: Bacteria; Bacillati; Bacillota; Negativicutes; Veillonellales; Veillonellaceae.
GACGAACGCUGGCGGCGUGCUUAACACAUGCAAGUCGAACGAAGAGCGAUGGAAGCUUGCUUCUAUCAAUCUUAGUGGCGAACGGGUGAGUAACGCGUAAUCAACCUGCCCUUCAGAGGGGGACAACAGUUGGAAACGACUGCUAAUACCGCAUACGAUCUAACCUUGGCAUCGAGGAUGGAUGAAAGGUGGCCUCUAUUUAUAAGCUAUCACUGAAGGAGGGGAUUGCGUCUGAUUAGCUGGUUGGAGGGGUAACGGCCCACCAAGGCGAUGAUCAGUAGCCGGUCUGAGAGGAUGAACGGCCACAUUGGGACUGAGACACGGCCCAGACUCCUACGGGAGGCAGCAGUGGGGAAUCUUCCGCAAUGGACGAAAGUCUGACGGAGCAACGCCGCGUGAGUGAUGACGGCCUUCGGGUUGUAAAGCUCUGUUAAUCGGGACGAAAGGCCUUCUUGCGAAUAGUGAGAAGGAUUGACGGUACCCGGAAUAGAAAAGCC